This 104-nucleotide ribosomal RNA is filed under the name Paenibacillus silagei. RNAcentral also lists the same sequence under 1 other name. Lineage: Bacteria; Bacillati; Bacillota; Bacilli; Caryophanales; Paenibacillaceae. The record is from RNAcentral.
GCGGAGGGGUUCCACACGUACCCAUCCCGAACACGACCGUUAAGCCCUCCAGCGCCGAUGGUACUUGGACCGAAGGGUCCUGGGAGAGUAGGACGCCGCCAAGC